UCGAAAUUAGAUUAUCUUCGCUGUACUCUUCUGUCAUUUCCAGAAACUCUCCGGCGCAGCGGAGAGAAGCGACAUUGGAAGAAUUGAGGUCGAUCUUCACACCGUAGCAAAACUUCGAUGCCAUCUCAAAGAUCUCGGAGCUGCAGGGGAAAUCAGAGAGCACAAUAUGGCAAUGUUCUUCCUCAACUUCAUCUUCUUCCUGUUCCUCCGAUUCGGUAAUUUCAUUUUGAUUCUCUCUGGUAGGAGUACCGUAGUUUUCUUCUCGCCGAGUUAUCAAAUUAUCUAGUUUCCGGCUCUUCGACAUUAGAGGAAACUGGAAAUUUACAAAAGAAUGAGGUCAGAACUCAAGAGAAACAGUCUGAAACAACCAAAUCAACGAAGAAAGAGACGGAAAUUUCGCAAGGAGAUUAAGGAGGCGACCUUAUGGAGAUGGAAAGCCAUAUCGUCCACUUCAAUGACAAUGUCACUCGGUAAGCCAUUGGUGCAGAACCUGUAAAACAAAAACUCAAAAGAAAUCAUUCCAAUCAGCACUAUUACCAUGGGAGUUCCAACCGAAGGUCUCUAAAAAUGGGAAGAACAUAAGAACUCACCAUGCUUGUCUUUUAGCGCUGGGCUUCCCUGCAACUGCUUGCGAUUCUGUAGCCAUUUUCUCAGGAAAAACUCUGCAUACAACCUCCGACAAUCAGACCCUGAAACUAGAAAACCAGCUCCAUUUCUUGCACAAACCAGAGAAGCUCGAAGGCACAGAAAUUAUGGUUUGGGUCUUAGGAAAUGAAAACAAACACAGGGAAAGAACAAAGAAUUGAAAUCCUUUUCAGGAGUAAUUUUGGUUGGGUGAAACGGAUUAGACUUGGGACAGAAGAACAGAUAAAAAGAAAACAAUGAGAACGAUGGGGAGAGAAUUUGUUUGGUUGCGAUUUCGUUUCUUCGGAAGAAUAAAUCUGACAAAGUGAGCUUCAUCAAAUCAAAAGGCGAAUGGCACUGCGAUGGGGUUUCAACUUUCAACAAAAUUUCUAAUUCUUCGGUUGCUGUUGGUCUACGAAUCAGUGGGGAAAGCACUUGAAAUGAAGAUGGGGAAAGCGUCCAAAUGGACACAAAACCCCAGAAAAUGCAGAUGGGGGCAUAAAGUCAAGGCUGUAGGUGUUGGGUGUUGGCACACAUAUAUGCCUUGGUGGUUGCUGCUUAUCACAUGCCUCCCAAGAACCUCUCUCCACAAUUCUUGCUGCCUUGCUUGAUCCACAACUCUACCACAUUAUUGCAUUCAAGCUCUGUCAAAUGGGAAGCCCACUGUUGUGGAGUUCUACGCAGAAUGGUGAGAAGUUUGUAGGCAAUUGGCUACAGUAGUAUACAAAGAAGAGCAACAGUAGAAGCUAUAAUCUUGUUCAAUUGCUUGUUUUUGAUAACACGAAGUGGGAGCACGGGGUUGAUGAGUUUGGACAAAGAAGGGAAUGAAGAAGGUUAAUGUAGUUGGCCGACUUCCAAAGCAAUAUCUGCUUGAGACAUUAAAUGUUUUCCAUUGGAUAUACAAAUCAUGGUGAAGUGUAAGACCUUAAAUGUCCUACAAAAGAGCUUCCCCUUCUUCUU
Cucurbita pepo subsp. pepo (vegetable marrow) is the source of this 1584-nucleotide long non-coding RNA. RefSeq lists it as uncharacterized. The record is from RefSeq and is a predicted model, not a curated record. NCBI's taxonomy places the organism in Eukaryota, Viridiplantae, Streptophyta, Magnoliopsida, Cucurbitales, Cucurbitaceae.